CACAAUCGUUUAACUCACCUCUACGUGGUGAUUGUGAUAAACAUUAGAAAUAAUGGCUAAGAAGUUA
RNAcentral lists this non-coding RNA (67 nucleotides) under unclassified sequences. The record is from RNAcentral.